CCUACGGGUGGCUGCAGUGGGGAAUAUUGCACAAUGGGGGAAACCCUGAUGCAGCGACGCCGCGUGAGUGAAGAAGUAAUUCGUUAUGUAAAGCUCUAUCAGCAGGGAAGAAAAUGACGGUACCUGAGUAAGAAGCCCCGGCUAACUACGUGCCAGCAGCCGCGGUAAUACGUAGGGGGCAAGCGUUAUCCGGAUUUACUGGGUGUAAAGGGAGCGUAGACGGCAGUGCAAGUCUGGAGUGAAAGGCGGGGGCUCAACCCCCGGACUGCUCUGGAAACUGUACGGCUGGAGUGCAGGAGAGGUAAGUGGAAUUCCUAGUGUAGCGGUGAAAUGCGUAGAUAUUAGGAGGAACACCAGUGGCGAAGGCGGGUUCCUGGACAUUAACUGACGCUGAGGCACGAAGGCCAGGGGAGCGAAAGGGAUUAGAUACCCUAGUAGUC
Molecule: ribosomal RNA, 440 nt
Filed under: uncultured bacterium
Lineage: Bacteria
Description: partial 16S ribosomal RNA
Rfam family: Bacterial small subunit ribosomal RNA
Source: RNAcentral